AUGCAAGUCGAACGAAGUAGCAAUACUUAGUGGCAGACGGGUGAGUAACAUGUAGGUAUCUGCCCUUUGGCCUGGAAUAACACGAGGAAACUUGUGCUAAUACCGGAUAAGUCUUCACGGAGAAAGCUUUAUGCACCAUUGGAUGAGCCUGCACUUGAUUAGUUUGUUGGUGGGGUAAUGGCCUACCAAGACUGUGAUCAAUAACUGAUUUGAGAGGAUGAUCAGCCACAUUGGGACUGAGACACGGCCCAAACUCCUACGGGAGGCAGCAGUGGGGAAUCUUGCACAAUGGAGGAAACUCUGAUGCAGCGAUGCCGCGUGAGUGAAGAAGGCCCUUGGGUUGUAAAGCUCUUUCGUCGGGGAAGAAAAUGACUGUACCCGAAUAAAAAGGUCCGGCUAACUUCGUGCCAGCAGCCGCGGUAAUACGAAGGGACCUAGCGUAGUUCGGAAUUACUGGGCUUAAAGAGUUCGUAGGCUGUUGAAAAAGUUGGUGGUGAAAUCCCAGAGCUUAACUCUGGAACUGCCAUCAAAACUUUUCAGCUAGAGUAUGAUAGAGGAAAGUAGAAUUUCUAGUGUAGAGGUGAAUUUCGUAGAUAUUAGAAAGAAUACAAAUUGCGAGGGCAGCUUUCUGGAUCAUUACUGACGCUGAGGACCGAAA
Molecule: ribosomal RNA, 658 nt
Filed under: uncultured marine bacterium
Lineage: Bacteria
Description: bacterial SSU rRNA
Rfam family: Bacterial small subunit ribosomal RNA
Source: RNAcentral